AGAGUUUGAUUAUGGCUCAGAUUGAACGCUGGCGGCAGGCCUAACACAUGCAAGUCGAACGGUAACAGGAAACAGCUUGCUGUUUCGCUGACGAGUGGCGGACGGGUGAGUAAUGUCUGGGAAACUGCCUGAUGGAGGGGGAUAACUACUGGAAACGGUAGCUAAUACCGCAUAACGUCGCAAGACCAAAGAGGGGGACCCUCGGGCCUCCUGCCAUCGGAUGUGCCCAGAUGGGAUUAGCUUGUUGGUGGGGUAACGGCUCACCAAGGCGACGAUCCCUAGCUGGUCUGAGAGGAUGACCAGCCACACUGGAACUGGGACACGGUCCAGACUCCUACGGGAGGCAGCAGUGGGGAAUAUUGCACAAUGGGCGCAAGCCUGAUGCAGCCAUGCCGCGUGUAUGAAGAAGGCCUUCGGGUUGUAAAGUACUUUCAGAAAGGAGGAAGGGAGUAGAGUUAAUACCUAUACUCAUUGACGUUACCCGCAGAAGAAGCACCGGCUAACUCCGUGCCAGCAGCCGCGGUAAUACAGAGGGUGCAAGCGUUAAUCGGAAUUACUGGGCGUAAAGCGCACGCAGGCGGUUUGUUAAGUCAGAUGUGAAAUCCCCGGGCUCAACCUGGGAAAUGCAUCUGAUACUGGCAAGCUUGAGUCUCGUAGAGGGGGGUAGAAUUCCAGGUGUAGCGGUGAAAUGCGUAGAGAUCUGGAGGAAUACCGGUGGCGAAGGCGGCCCCCUGGACGAAGACUGACGCUCAGGUGCGAAAGCGUGGGGAGCAAACAGGAUUAGAUAUCCUGGUAGUCCACGCCGUAAACGAUGUCGACUUGGAGGUUGUGCCCUUGAGGCGUGGCUUCCGGAGCUAACGCGUUAAGUCGACCGCCUGGGGGAGUACGGCCGCAAGGUUAAAACUCAAAUGAAUUGACGGGG
RNAcentral lists this ribosomal RNA (922 nucleotides) under uncultured Gammaproteobacteria bacterium. RNAcentral's name for it is "bacterial SSU rRNA". It matches the Rfam family "Bacterial small subunit ribosomal RNA", at positions 8 to 918 of the family's 1533-position model. Lineage: Bacteria; Pseudomonadati; Pseudomonadota; Gammaproteobacteria. The record is from RNAcentral.